UUUUGGGUCCACUCACCUUUUGCGCCUGCCGGAUGGGUGGAUAAAUGGAGGACUUGUAAAACAGUUGGAAAAAUCGUCUCUAAGCUAUGUUAACUGGGGGUUCGUCUGGGUUCCUUGGCUCGCAUCAAAAGGAGUGGAGCUGUUUAGUUUAAAUGCCACUUCAAAGACUGUUCCAACGCAGUGUAAAUUUUUUUUGCUAAUUUUAUUAAAAUUUCAUUUAACUAAAUUGCAAAUGUUUCUUCUUGCGGCCUGGCCUCUUGCUGCUUGCUGUUCUGUUGAAUGUUUCUUUAAUUUUUUUUCGACUGUCGGGCUCUGCUCUGUGCAAAAAUCAACUGUUCGACUCGCGGCGACGACGACUACGAUGACUAUGACUACGCCGGCGAAGAGAGAGAACAUGGCCGGAGAGCUACAGAGAGAUAGAGAGAAAGAGAGAGCAUGGCCGAGAGCGCCGACGCCAAUGUUUCCACCGAUUCCUAGCUGCAUUUCGCGAAGCUUUUCUCUUGAGAUUGCCCCCUUAAGCCCCUAAGCCCCCAAACCCCCAGAAAGAAAAGGUGCUAUUUGCGUGCUACAGUACGAGUACUCUCGAUAUUGGUUCAUUACUCAUGCGAUUACGUUAUGGCCCGACUAUGUGUAUCAAUAAUGGAGUUAAGACUAAAACUGGACGAAAAGGCUGCAUAAAUCAAUAAACAGAAUGACGCGUAUCAUAAUUAUCUAAUUGCUGCAGUUUGUCAGCCACUGGGCCAGCCUCCGUUGCCAUGUUGCAUAACGUGCAACCACUUACAUAAUCGGUCCUUGGACCGCGAUAAAGCUGAAGGCGGCACCUACCAAAAACAAGGUCAAAAGUUCAAGGACUGAGAAAAGCUCUCGCCCACGAAGAGCAGCGCAGGCGGCGGAGCGAAAGCAUCUGCGUCAAGCGGAAGUCCUCCAGGUUUAUGUGUUUGUGGGUGCGGAAAUGAAUGCGACUGUGUGUAUAUGUGUGAGUUGAUGUUUUGGUUGUGUAACAGAAGCUAAAGGAAUUGCUACCUUCCUAACUUCCUAACAGCAUUCGAAAUGAAUUAUAUUUGCAUUUUAAUUUUGUUUAACUUUUUUUUUAUUGAUUUUUUAAGUGAAUGCAUUUUGCUUGCUACGUAAUUGGUUUAUAAUUUUUUGCUGUCUUAAUGUUAAUGAUAUAUUUGCAUAUGCCACAAAAACUGUUGCUAGCCAUUUUUUGUUUUUGUUUUUUAAGCUUUAAUAAAAUCUUUUUCAGAAAUCAUACAUGGCAAAUCAGUUUUCAAAUAAAAUGUUUUUACCCGUUUAUUUAAAGCCGAUCUAUGUGCAUAUUUUUAUUGGUUUUUGUGUGAGUAUUCGCUAAAUUUUAAUGUAAUUUAACAUUGGUUUCCAUUUCUCUGGAUAAAACAGAUUUAAUAUAAUUAAACGAAUUCGUUUUACUUUGCACGCUGGCUGCCUCUGCUUUACAAUCGUCUUCCUGCUAAGCCUAACUAUCGUACUACUCGAUCGGUGUCGAUCUGCUAAAUAUUAUAUCAUCGGGCCUCAUUCCUAACGGUCCUUCUUAUCAACAUCAUUAUCUUCAUCGUCGUUUUCUUGUUGUUCUUAACUCUCUUUUUAUUUUUAUUUUGUUUGGAAAAGUUGUUAACAUUCUUUUGUUGGUCGCACAUGUUUCGCAUUGGCUUUUUCUUGUUCUUUUGUUGUUGUUAUAAUUGUUCUUGUUUUUGUCUGUUGUUGUUGUUGUUGAAAUAGUUGUUGUUUUUAGUGUUUGUGUGUUCUUCUUGUUUGCCUUCUUGUUUUUAUCACAGCUUUCUUCACUUUUGCUCUCAUAACUUUUAAGCAUAACUUGCAUAUAUGUACAUUUAUAAAUCUUGUUGUUAAUGCACGGCUGUUUUUUAAUCGUCUUUCUUUUCUUAUAUCAUUCCACCCCCCUGGAACACCCACUCCCUCAGCAUCGUAAGUGUAAGUGGUGUUUUCAUGCUCCUUCUGUAUAUAAGUUCACAUCGGGGGGCUACGUCUUAUAUACUCAUUUCAUAUACAUAUAUAACAUGCUUGCGCUUUCUUCUCGUUGGUGUUUUUCUCUCUCUUUCUCUUUCAUUCUGCUGUCAACACUUAUCUUAGACAUUGAUGUUACUGCAAUUGUUGAUUGCUGUUUGCUGCAUUUUUGUUGCUGCUGGCUAACAUAUAAAUUGCAUUUGCUUUGUGGUGUACAAUGAUUUACAUUUGUGGAAUGAUUUACAAAAAUUGGUUUUCUUCUCUCCUCUCGAAUUAAAAUUUAAAUACAAUAAAUGGCAUAUAAAAUAUAUAUAUAUAUUUUUGUUGUUGCAGUAAGUAUACAAAAAGAACGUUACGUUACGCACAGCAUGUACUCGUACAGCAGCGUUGUUGGAAGUGACUCUAGUG
Drosophila pseudoobscura is the source of this 2388-nucleotide long non-coding RNA. RefSeq lists it as uncharacterized. The transcript has 2 exons. The record is from RefSeq and is a predicted model, not a curated record. Lineage: Eukaryota; Metazoa; Arthropoda; Insecta; Diptera; Drosophilidae.